RNAcentral lists this ribosomal RNA (468 nucleotides) under uncultured bacterium. Its description in RNAcentral is "partial 16S ribosomal RNA". It matches the Rfam family "Bacterial small subunit ribosomal RNA", at positions 28 to 507 of the family's 1533-position model. The record is from RNAcentral.
GACGAACGCUGGCGGCGUGCUUAACACAUGCAAGUCGAACGGAAAGGCCCUGCUUUUGUGGGGUGCUCGAGUGGCGAACGGGUGAGUAACACGUGAGUAACCUGCCCUUGACUUUGGGAUAACUUCAGGAAACUGGGGCUAAUACCGGAUAGGAGCUCCUGAUGCAUGGUGGGGGUUGGAAAGUUUCGGCGGUUGGGGAUGGACUCGCGGCUUAUCAGCUUGUUGGUGGGGUAGUGGCUUACCAAGCCUUUGACGGGUAGCCGGCCUGAGAGGGUGACCGGCCACAUUGGGACUGAGAUACGGCCCAGACUCCUACGGGAGGCAGCAGUGGGGAAUAUUGCACAAUGGGCGGAAGCCUGAUGCAGCAACGCCGCGUGCGGGAUGACGGCCUUCGGGUUGUAAACCGCUUUCGCCUGUGACGAAGCGUGAGUGACGGUAAUGGGUAAAGAAGCACCGGCUAACUACGUG